AAACCACUACGAGUGAAAACUUAAAAUUUAAAGGACUUGACGGUGUCCCACAUUCAACCUAGAGGAGCCUGUCUACUAACCGAUAACCCACGAUUAACCCUACCACCCAUGGCCACACAGUCUAUAUACCGCCGUCGCAAGCCUAUCUUGCAAAAGAAACACAAUGGGCUAAACAGUACAACACUAACACGACAGGUCGAGGUGUAACUAAUGGGGUGGGACAAGAUGGGCUACAUUACUCAACUCGAGUAAUACGAACAAAACUAUGAAACUAGCUUUUAAAGGCGGAUUUAGCAGUAAGAUGAGAAUAAAAUACUCACCUGAAUAAAACGCAAUGGGACGCGU
Molecule: ribosomal RNA, 345 nt
Filed under: Trachyboa gularis
Lineage: Eukaryota; Metazoa; Chordata; Lepidosauria; Squamata; Tropidophiidae
Description: partial 12S ribosomal RNA
Rfam family: Bacterial small subunit ribosomal RNA
Source: RNAcentral